GGUGUGGCUCAGUGGUAGAGCACUUGCCUCGUAAGCAACAAGACCCUGGGUUGGAUCCUUAGCACC
This 66-nucleotide transfer RNA is filed under the name Ictidomys tridecemlineatus (thirteen-lined ground squirrel). RNAcentral's name for it is "Spermophilus tridecemlineatus (thirteen-lined ground squirrel) tRNA". It matches the Rfam family "tRNA". From Rfam's summary of the family: Transfer RNA (tRNA) molecules are approximately 80 nucleotides in length. Their secondary structure includes four short double-helical elements and three loops (D, anti-codon, and T loops). The record is from Rfam by way of RNAcentral. Lineage: Eukaryota; Metazoa; Chordata; Mammalia; Rodentia; Sciuridae.